GAUGAACGCUGGCGGCGUGCCUAAUACAUGCAAGUCGAGCGAACAGACGAGGAGCUUGCUCCUCUGACGUUAGCGGCUGACGGGUGAGUAACACGUGGAUAACCUACCUAUAAGACUGGGAUAACUUCGGGAAACCGGAGCUAAUACCGGAUAAUAUAUUGAACCGCAUGGUUCAAUAGUUAAAGACGGUUUUGCUGUCACUUAUAGAUGGAUCCGCGCCGCAUUAGCUAGUUGGUAAGGUAACGGCUUACCAAGGCAACGAUGCGUAGCCGACCUGAGAGGGUGAUCGGCCACACUGGAACUGAGACACGGUCCAGACUCCUACGGGAGGCAGCAGUAGGGAAUCUUCCGCAAUGGGCGAAAGCCUGACGGAGCAACGCCGCGUGAGUGAUGAAGGUCUUCGGAUCGUAAAACUCUGUUAUUAGGGAAGAACAAAUGUGUAAGUAACUAUGCACGUCUUGACGGUACCUAAUCAGAAAGCCACGGCUAACUACGUG
RNAcentral lists this ribosomal RNA (497 nucleotides) under uncultured bacterium. RNAcentral describes it as "partial 16S ribosomal RNA". It matches the Rfam family "Bacterial small subunit ribosomal RNA", at positions 28 to 507 of the family's 1533-position model. The record is from RNAcentral.